CAUUAGAUAACUAAAGCAAGAUCUGGUCUCUUAAACCAAAAAUAGUAAUUAGCAAUUACUUCUAAUGA
This 68-nucleotide transfer RNA is filed under the name Olinga feredayi. Its description in RNAcentral is "tRNA-Lys". Lineage: Eukaryota; Metazoa; Arthropoda; Insecta; Trichoptera; Conoesucidae. The record is from RNAcentral.